GUGCCUAAUACAUGCAAGUCGAGCGGACAGAAGGGAGCUUGCUCCCGGAUGUUAGCGGCGGACGGGUGAGUAACACGUGGGUAACCUGCCUGUAAGACUGGGAUAACUCCGGGAAACCGGAGCUAAUACCGGAUAGUUCCUUGAACCGCAUGGUUCAAGGAUGAAAGACGGUUUCGGCUGUCACUUACAGAUGGACCCGCGGCGCAUUAGCUAGUUGGUGGGGUAAUGGCUCACCAAGGCGACGAUGCGUAGCCGACCUGAGAGGGUGAUCGGCCACACUGGGACUGAUACACCGCCCAUACUCCUAGGGGAGCCACCANUAGGGAAUCUACCGCCCGGAACAAAAUUCUGACGAAUAAACCCAGGGUGAGUGCUCAAUGUUU
Molecule: ribosomal RNA, 383 nt
Filed under: Bacillus pumilus
Lineage: Bacteria; Bacillati; Bacillota; Bacilli; Caryophanales; Bacillaceae
Description: bacterial SSU rRNA
Rfam family: Bacterial small subunit ribosomal RNA
Source: RNAcentral